Molecule: long non-coding RNA, 2940 nt
Filed under: Amborella trichopoda
Lineage: Eukaryota; Viridiplantae; Streptophyta; Magnoliopsida; Amborellales; Amborellaceae
Description: long non-coding RNA (ATRI_LNC002941)
Source: RNAcentral
UGUACUGGACUCAUCAAGUAACUCGCCUCGGCCGAGGCAGGCUCCUAAUCAUUGUUUGUGAAUCAUAUAAAAAACAAAUACGAGAUUAGGACUCUUUAACAAACAAAAUUGGUGUGCAGCUCCUUAACACCACUGCUAGUUGAACUGGCAGGUUGCAAAUCGACAUGAAUGGGUCAUUAAGUGCACUAGAGCUCUAUUUUCAUAUCUAAUUAGAAAAUUUUAAACUCCAAAAAUAGUUAAAAUCAAGGAGAUCUAUAAACAUAUCAAAAUUUUGAAAAUGGGCAGCCUAGAUAAUGUGUUGCAAGAUGCACUAUUUUUGAGGCUUAAAACUUUUUUUUUUAUAUUCAUACGUCUCGAUGUCGAGAUAAUCAAAUAGAGGGUUUUCAACAUUAAAAUAACCUUUCCGAUAGAUUUUUGAGGUGCAUUUGUAAUUCUACACUUUAAGGUUGUAACUUUAUAUAAACUUUUUCGUGUGUAUGUGUGUGCGCGUCCAUGCGUGUGGGGGUUUGUCUAGAGCAUUGUUCGCAAAAUCGCCCGAGUGUGUGUGUGUAGAGCACUGUUCGCAAAAUCGCUCGAUCUAACCUCUAACUGCUGGGUUAGAUUGGAACUGCUCGAUUUUGGUUUUGGGCGGUUGAUCAACCGGUAUUUAAAAAAAAAAAUUUCAAAAAAAUGUAUAUAAAUUAUAAAAAAAGAAGUAAUUUGAUUUGUAAUGCAUUUUUAAAUAUUCUUUACAUUAUGGUAAAGAUUAAAAAUGGUUUUGGUCAUUACUACUCACUUUUAUAUUUUCUCAUCUUUUUUAGAAAAAUUUAAAAGGGUGUUGUAAGCAUACGGAUGCAUUCGUAGCUGUAGAGGUUAGGUGCACCUUCAAGUUUUAUCAUGGUAUAUAAUUUUGAUGUAAAAUGUUCUUAGGAUUAUCUCAAAAUCUAUUUUUAUAUCUAAUUGUAAAAUUUUAAAUUUCAAAAAUGAUUAAAAUCAAGUAGAUCUAUAAACAUAUGAAAAUCUUGAAAAUGGAUGGUGUAGGUAAUAAGUUGUAAAAUGCACUAUUUCUGAGACUUAAAAUCUUUUUAUUUUUCAUGGUCAUACAUCUCGAUGUCGAGAUGAUCAAUCAAAGGGUUUUUCAACAUUAAAACUACCUUUUCCGAUGGAUUUUUGAGGUUGCAUCCGUAGUUCUACAAUAUAAGGUUGCAUCCUUAGAUAAACUUGUUCCAUUUUAAAAAUAGCCAUUGGAAAAUAUAAAAUGGGUUAAAAUCUAUUUUUUUCAUUAAUUUUCAACUUCAUUUGAAUGUGUUUUGUUUUUAUCAUUCUUUUUAUGCUUUUUAUAUUUUAUUAGAUUUUUUUUGUAUUCUUUUUAUUUUUUUUCAACACUUUGUUUACCACUCUUAGAGCGGUUGAAUCAGCCGGUUUACCGGUUAGGCCGAUUAAAUCGCUUCCAGGCUCAUGUCCGAUUAACUGUUCCGAUUCGAUUUUGCAAACACUGGUUUAGAGUUAACAACUCCUAAAAAUACAAAGGUUAACCGCUCUGGUUCGAUUUUGCGAACGUUGGUCUAGAUUUGACAACUCUUAAAAAUACAAAGGUUAAUGAUAGGAGGGGUUCAAAAAGAUCAUUACUUUUUGUUUAAGAAAUUAUUUUAAUAUGUUACUUCACCACAAAGCAAGGGCAAAUUUGAAAUUAUUGUAAAAGUAUAAUGGUAUUUUGAAAGUUAGUGUAUUCGAAUUUUACUUGUAGAGUGUCAUUGUCCUCAAGUAAAAAUUUUAAUUUUACCCUUUAUAGAGAUGAUAAAAGUACCUAUUUCAAUUUUACCAAAUAGUUUUGGUCAUUACUACUCGCUUUUAUAUUUUCCCAUCUUUUUUAAAAAAAAUUAAAAGGGUGUGGUAGGCAUACGGAUGCAUCCGUAGCUGUAGAGGUUAGGUGCACCUUUAAGUUUUAUCAUGGUAUAUAAUUUUGAUGUAAAAUGUUCUUAGGAUUAUCUCAAAAUCUAUUUUUAUAUCUAAUUGUAAAAUUUUAAAUUUCAAAAUGAUUAAAAUCAAGUAGAUCUAUAAACAUAUGAAAAUCUUGAAAAUGGAUGGUGUAGGGAAUAUGUUGUAAAAUGCACUAUUUCUGAGACUUAAAAUCUUUUUAAUUUUCAUGGUCAUACAUCUCGACGUCGAGAUGAUCAAUCAAAGGGUUUUUCAACAUUAAAACUACCUUUUCCGAUGGAUUUUGGAGGUGCAUCCGUAGUUCUACAAUAUAAGGUUGCAUCCUUAGAUAAACUUGUUCCAUUUUAAAAAUAGCCAUUGGAAAAUAUAAAAUGGGUUAAAAUCAAUUUUUUUCAUUAAUUUUCAACUUCAUUUGAAUGUGUUUUGUUUUAAUCAUUCUUUUUAUGCUUUUCAUAUUUUAUUAUAUUUUUUUUGUAUUUUUUUUAUGUUUUUUCAACACUUUUUUUACCACUCUUAGAGCGGUUGAAUCAGCCGGUUUACCGGUUAGGCCGAUUAAAUCGCUUCCAGGCUCAUGUCCGAUUAACUGUUUUGGUUUGAUUUUGCCAACACUGGUCUAGAGUUAACAACUCUUAAAAGUACAAAGGUUAACCGCUUCGGUUCGAUUUUGCGAAUGCUGGUCUAGACUUAACUCUUAAAAAUACAAAGGUUAAUGAUAGGAGGGGUUCAAAAAGAUAAGUACUUUUUGUUUAAGAAAUUAUUUUAAUAUGUUAUUUCAACAUAAAGCAAGGGCAAAUUUGAAAUUAUUGUAAAAGUAUAAUGGUAUUUUGAAAGUUAGUGUAUUCGAAUUUUAUUUGUAGAGUGUCAUUGUCCUUAAGUAAAAAUUUCAAUUUUACUUUUUAUGGAGAUGAUAAAAGUACUUAUUGUCUUAUAGUGAUAUUUACAAAAAUACAUUUACUUAAUGAGCAAGAUAUCACAAAAAGUAAUUUUUUAAAAACAAUAGAUCACAAAGUUAAUAAAUCCACC